Molecule: ribosomal RNA, 295 nt
Filed under: Bacillus sp. (in: firmicutes)
Lineage: Bacteria; Bacillati; Bacillota; Bacilli; Caryophanales; Bacillaceae
Description: Bacillus sp. (in: Bacteria) partial 16S ribosomal RNA
Rfam family: Bacterial small subunit ribosomal RNA
Source: RNAcentral
UGGGCGUAAGCGCGCGCAGGCGGUUUCUUAAGUCUGAUGUGAAAGCCCACGGCUCAACCGUGGAGGGUCAUUGGAAACUGGGGAACUUGAGUGCAGAAGAGAAAAGCGGAAUUCCACGUGUAGCGGUGAAAUGCGUAGAGAUGUGGAGGAACACCAGUGGCGAAGGCGGCUUUUUGGUCUGUAACUGACGCUGAGGCGCGAAAGCGUGGGGAGCAAACAGGAUUAGAUACCCUGGUAGUCCACGCCGUAAACGAUGAGUGCUAAGUGUUAGAGGGUUCCGCCCUUUAGUGCUGCA